AUACAGCGAAACUGCGAAUGGCUCAUUAUAUAAGUUAUCGUUUAUUUGAUAGUACCUUACUACUUGGAUAACCGUGGUAAUUCUAGAGCUAAUACAUGCUAAAAAUCCCGACUUCGGAAGGGAUGUAUUUAUUAGAUUAAAAACCAAUGCCCUCUGGGCUCCUUGGUGAUUCAUAAUAACUUUUCGAAUCGCAUGGCCUUGCGCCGGCGAUGGUUCAUUCAAAUUUCUUCCCUAUCAACUUUCGAUGUUUGGGUAUUGGCCAAACAUGGUCGCAACGGGUAACGGAGGGUUAGGGCUCGACCCCGGAGAAGGAGCCUGAGAAACGGCUACUACAUCCAAGGAAGGCAGCAGGCGCGCAAAUUACCCAAUCCCGAUUCGGGGAGGUAGUGACAAUAAAUACUGAUACAGGGCUCUUUUGGGUCUUGUAAUUGGAAUGAGUACAAUUUAAAUCCCUUAACGAGGAACAAUUGGAGGGCAAGUCUGGUGCCAGCAGCCGCGGUAAUUCCAGCUCCAAUAGCGUAUAUUAAAGUUGUUGUGGUUAAAAAGCUCGUAGUUGAACCUUGGGCCUGGCUGGCCGGUCCGCCUCACCGCGUGUACUGGUCCGGCCGGGCCUUUCCCUCUGUGGAACCUCAUGCCCUUCACUGGGUGUGGCGGGGAAACAGGACUUUUACUUUGAAAAAAUUAGAGUGCUCCAGGCAGGCCUAUGCUCGAAUACAUUAGCAUGGAAUAAUGAAAUAGGACGUGUGGUUCUAUUUUGUUGGUUUCUAGGACCGCCGUAAUGAUUAAUAGGGACAGUCGGGGGCAUCAGUAUUCAAUUGUCAGAGGUGAAAUUCUUGGAUUUAUUGAAGACUAACUACUGCGAAAGCAUUUGCCAAGGAUGUUUUCAUUAAUCAGGAACGAAAGUUAGGGGAUCGAAGACGAUCAGAUACCGUCGUAGUCUUAACCAUAAACUAUGCCGACUAGGGAUCGGACGAUGUUAUUUUUUGACGCGUUCGGCACCUUACGAGAAAUCAAAGUGCUUGGGCUCC
RNAcentral lists this ribosomal RNA (1028 nucleotides) under Cordyceps farinosa. Its description in RNAcentral is "SSU rRNA". It matches the Rfam family "Eukaryotic small subunit ribosomal RNA", at positions 76 to 1115 of the family's 1831-position model. Lineage: Eukaryota; Fungi; Ascomycota; Sordariomycetes; Hypocreales; Cordycipitaceae. The record is from RNAcentral.